UGAUGCGAUCGCUUUGGUACCGACAGAUUUUCUACGCAAGAAUUGCAAGAAAAACUAGAGAAAACUUUAUUUAUUCAACGUGCUUCAGUUUAUCACGUUGGUUGAAAUAUAUAGAAAAGAAAAGAAAGACAAUCCUAAAGCUACGUAAACUAAUCAAGGAAUAAUUCUAAUCCUAAUAAUUAAAGAAGACUAACUUAACUAAAAUACUAUAAAAAUAUAAUAACUAGGAAUUAUAAUAAUAAAGAAGCUAUUAAUAAGGAAGCUAUUAUAGAGACCCAUAAGCCACGAUCCUAACUAGUCCAAGUAGCGCCGGUUAGGUCGGAUGGUUCGCAUGCUACGACGUGGCUUAUCAUUCCCUCCCUCUUCAAAUACAACCUUGUCCUCAAGGUUAAGGUGGGGAAACUUUUCGACAAGCACCUCCAAAGCUUCCCAAGUGGCGUCUUCUACUGGCAAGGAAUUCCAUUUAACCAACACCUCUCGCACGCGGCCACCAUUUCCAGCAACAACCCUAGACUCCAGAACUUGUGUGGGCUCAAGAACGGGUUCUCCGUCCACGGUGUAAGGUGGUAAAGUAGCUACUGCAGACUGUUGAUCCCCAAGCUUACGCCGAAGCAAUGAAACGUGAAACACCGGGUGUACGCGAGACUCGCUAGGAAGGUCCAACUUAUACGCCACACGGCCAAUUCUCUCGACAAUGCGAAAUGGACCGUAAAAACGGCUAGCCAACUUAUGGAAAAUCCUCUUGAAAACAGACUGUUGUCGAUAUGGUUGAAGUUUUAAAUACACCCAGUCGCCAAUCUCAAACUGCUCCUCACGUCGAUGUUUAUCAGCCGCUUGCUUCAUUCGAUUCUGAGCGGCUGCCAAGUGAAUUUUCAAUUCCUUAAUAAUCUCAUCUCGUGCCCUCAAGGUUCGAUCAACCUCUGGUACAUUAGCAGUUCCAGCCAUGUAUUGCACCAAUGGUGGUGGAGGUCGCCCAUAAACUGCUUCAAAUGGUGUCAUUCCAAUGGAUUGAUGGAACGAUGUAUUGUACCAGAAUUCAGCCCAUGCUAGGUAUUCUUCCCAUUGUCUUGGUUUGAGGUAAACGAAGCACCUUAAAUAUUGCUCAAGACACCGAUUUACUACUUCGGUUUGGCCGUCGGAUUCGGGAUGGUAAGCCGAACUAGUGCACAAGGCAGUCCCCUGCAAGCGAAAUAGCUCCCGCCAAAAAUUACUCAUAAAAACUUUGUCUCGAUCAGACACAAUUGACGUGGGAAGGCCAUGUAAUUUGACCACUCCUCUCACAAAUGUAGCUGCCACAUCUUUAGCCGUGUAUGGGUGGGUUAAUGUCAUAAAGUGGGCAUAUUUUGAUAAUCGAUCGACUACCACGAAGAUCGUAUCUUUCCCUUGCGAUCUCGGCAAUCCCUCAAUAAAGUCCAUACUUAUAUCGGCCCAUAUGACAACUGGUAUUUGCAAUGGUUCGAGCAGCCCCGCCGGCCGACGAUGAUCAGCUUUAUUUCUUUGGCACGUGUCACACUCGCGCACAAAUUGCCGCACCGCUGAUCGUAGUCCUUGCCAUGAAAACAACUGUGAAAUGCGUUUGAAUGUGCGAAGCUCUCCUGAAUGUCCCGCAAUUGGUGAAGAGUGAAAUUCUGUAAGGAUCUUUUGUCGUAGAGGACCCGCCUCGGGAACCAUUACACGUCCUUUCACCCAUACGCACCCAUUUUUGACUGAAAUCCCGUCUUCACUUGAAGUAUUUUCCCCUUUUUUUUUCAGCUCGUUCAACUUUGGAUCCUCUGCAGUGGCAGCGGCGAUCUCGUCCCACACGGCCCAAGUCGGUAUGGUAAUAGCAGAUAACUCCGACUCGCUGACCAUACCCUCGUCGAUUUUUGGAUUUGCAUGUUCGCGGCGGGAUAAGGCAUCAGCCGCGCUAUUUUGUUUUCCCGGCUUAUAAAUGAUCUCGUAAUCAAAUCCCAAUAACUUAGCUAUCCACUUUUGUUGUUCAGGCGUAGUAAUACGCUGCUCAAGAAGAUAGCGGAGACUUCGGUGAUCAGUGCAUAUUUUGAAUUUACGCCCUAAGAGAUACGGUCGCCAACAUCGAACCGCUUCUAAAAUCGCUAGCAUCUCUUUUUCGUAAGUGGACCAAGCCCUCUUUGUUGCGCUAAUCCCCUUGCUAAUAAAAGCAAUAGGUCUUCCCCCUUGACUCAACACAGCCCCUAUGCCUUCACCGGAAGCGUCCGUCUCAAUGGUAAAUUCCUCCUCAAAGUUUGGUAGGGCUAGAACAGGGGUCUUCGUCAUUGCUUCUUUUAAUUUUUCAAAUGCUAAUUGUGCCUCUUCCCCCCACUUGAAGCCUCCUUUUUUGAGUAAGUUUGUCAGUGGUCGAGCUAUACUCCCAUAGUUGUGUACAAAUUUUCGAUAAUAACCGGUUAACCCUAAGAAUCCACGUAAUGCGCGCACAGUUUUAGGAGAAGGCCAUGAUACCAUAGCUUUAAUUUUUUCUUGAUCAACUCUUACCCCUUCGUGUGAAAUCCAAUGGCCCAAGUAUUCCACUUGCUUUUGGCCAAAACAACAUUUACUGGGUUUUAGAAAAAAAUGUGCAUCCCUCAAUAUUUGCAAAGUGGUCCGCAACUGUUGUAGGUGAUCUUCCCACGAUUUACUAUAAACUAAUAUAUCAUCAAAAAAAACCAAUAUGAAUUUCCGCAAGUGUGGCCGAAAGAUCUCAUUCAUAGCAGCUUGGAAAGUCGAUGGUGCAUUACACAAUCCGAACGGCAUUACUAGAUACUCGUAGUGGCCAUUAUGAACUCGAAAGGCAGUUUUGUGAAUGUCAUCAGGAUGUACCCGGAUUUGAUGAUAGCCCGCACGUAGAUCGAGCUUGCUGUAAUACUUAGCCCCGUGUAGCUCAUCAAGCAUGUCGUCCACGGUUGGUAUAGGAAAUCGAUCUUUAAUAGUUACGUCAUUCAAUCCCCUAUAAUCUGUGCAGAAACGCCACGAACCAUCCUUCUUUUUUACGAGAAGAACCGGCGAUGAAAAAGGACUUGUACUUGGCCGAAUCAGUCCCGACUUAAGCAAUGCGGCUACUUGUUUUUCGAUCUCGUUUUUCUGGAAGUGUGCGUAUCGGUAGGGUCGCACGUUGACGACGGUUGCUUCAUCGUGUAAACGUAUACGGUGGUCAAACUCUCGUUGUGGUGGUAAGGUUUCGGGCUCUGCCUGGAUAUCAAGAAAUUCAGUCAAUAAUUUUUUUAUUUCCACAUUGCCGGUACCAACUACUUCGCUUGUUUCCUCCCUAUCGAACGAUGCCGCUACUCCGAAUAGCUCGCCUCCAGCUUUCCAGUCCCCGAUCAGCGCAUGGAGCUCGCUAAUUUCGAUGUCCUUCUCUUCCCGUCCCUGAAUGUGAUAUUCACGGCCUUGGACUUUAAAUUUCAUUGAUUUUUUUCGAUAAUCUGUUAGCACGGGACUCAGGUCCUCGAGCCAUGGUAAACCCAGUACUACAUCUAGUCCGUCGAUCGGCAAAGGAUAUAAAUUGGCUCGAAAAUCAUAUCCCUGUACAUGCAUUGGGACGAUUUCACACCUUGCCGAACAUUCCAAUUUUUGACCAUUCGCCAUCCGCACCAGAAAAGGCUUAAUCGGUUUAACCUCCAAUCGUAGUCGUUGAGCUAAUUCCGGGUUGAUGAAGUUGAGACUGGACCCGUUAUCCACCAACAUUUCGACCGGUGAAUUCUCAAGCUUUCCACUUACUCUCAUGGCUUUCUUUCCCGACUCUCCUCCAAUCGCAUGCAACGAAAUUUGUUGCGGCUCAUCAAAGUCAACUGCUUCAUCGUCGCCCUGAUCUUCCGCUUCGAUUAUUAAAGCUUGUGCUUUUUUACACUGGUGCCCUCUUACAAACUUCUCAUCACAAUGAUAACAUAGGUUUUGUUCCCUACGACGUUGCAAUUCUUCCCAGGUCAGACGCUUUGCUCCAUCAGCGACCAAUUGACGAGUGUUGGUUGCCGGGUUCGGGUUCACGAAUUUGGAGUUUGUGGAAUUCGUGGUCCUUGUUUGGCCUGCACUUCUUUUCCCGAAUUGCAGCUGCUCGUCCUUGCGUUUUGCUAGCUCCAUAGCAGUCUGUAGAUCCUUAGGUUUGAACAGACGAACGUCCCCCGCAAUAUCUUCACGGAGACCUGCCAUGAAAGCUCCCAUAAGUGCCUCUUCGGGCCAAUCUGGUAGACAAUUCAUGAGCUUCUCGAACUCUCCUAAGAAUUCUUUGAAUCCUCCCUUCUGUCUUAAACGACACAUGGACUCAUUGGGGUCCUCGUAAUUGCCGUGGCCAAAACGCAAUAGUAUCCCUUUCUCGAAUUGCCUCCACGAUAUUUUACGACCUUGAUUCGCCCUUUCGAACCACUGCCACCAUUGAUUGGCAUCUCCUUCUAGAUGAUACGAAGCCAGCACUACUUUACGAUGGCCAUGUAAGUCAUUAGCCAAGAAAAAUUGCUUCGCCCGAUUGAGCCAUACCCUCGGCUCUUCACCAUCAAAUUUUGUAAAAUCCAUUCUAACCUGGUGGUGUCGCCUUCCAUGUUUGCCGUUGUUCGAAGCUCGACUCCUAAUCGAAUUGUUCGACAUGCGGCUAUCUUGGCUGUCGCUGCCCGACGAGUCGUCCGAUGGUGGCGGCGACGACUCGUUUCUUCUCCCCCAUGGGUUUUGUCGAUCUUGCCCUCGUUCAAGCAUCCUUUGCAUCUGUUGCAUAGAAGUCUGGAUCUCUUGCACGGAGCCUUCCAAUCUAUCAACGGAGCCUUCCAAUCUAUCAAAUCUUUCCUUAUUUGUUGCCAUGACCGUAGCGGAGCGUUGAUGUUAUCGCAACCUCGCUCUUGAUACCAAUUGAUGCGAUCGCUUUGGUACCGACAGAUUUUCUACGCAAGAAUUGCAAGAAAAACUAGAGAAAACUUUAUUUAUUCAACGUGCUUCAGUUUAUCACGUUGGUUGAAAUAUAUAGAAAAGAAAAGAAAGACAAUCCUAAAGCUACGUAAACUAAUCAAGGAAUAAUUCUAAUCCUAAUAAUUAAAGAAGACUAACUUAACUAAAAUACUAUAAAAAUAUAAUAACUAGGAAUUAUAAUAAGAAAGAAGCUAUUAAUAAGGAAGCUAUUAUAGAGACCCAUAAGCCACGAUCCUAACUAGUCCAAGUAGCGCCGGUUAGGUCGGAUGGUUCGCAUGCUACGACGUGGCUUAUCA
RNAcentral lists this long non-coding RNA (5180 nucleotides) under Erythranthe guttata (spotted monkey flower). Its description in RNAcentral is "long non-coding RNA (EGUT_LNC002780)". Lineage: Eukaryota; Viridiplantae; Streptophyta; Magnoliopsida; Lamiales; Phrymaceae. The record is from RNAcentral.